RNAcentral lists this ribosomal RNA (3066 nucleotides) under Triticum aestivum (bread wheat). RNAcentral's name for it is "partial small subunit ribosomal RNA". The record is from RNAcentral. Lineage: Eukaryota; Viridiplantae; Streptophyta; Magnoliopsida; Poales; Poaceae.
AUGCGGAAGGCGAUGGGGAGCGUGGACGAUCUGAUCGAGGAGGCCAAGGUGCGCACCGUGGCCUGGGCUCUCGGCAUCUUCGCCAUCUCCUACUUCCUCACACAUACAAGUAAAUCAAUGUGGACAAAUGUCCCCAUGUCGAUUCUUAUACUUGCAUUUCUCCGUUACGUCUCCUUCAAAGUGGAGUUCCGUUGGAGAAGUCAGCCUGUAUCUAAGCAGACAUAUUUGUCUCAAGCGUCAAAACGACAGUUGUCUGCUAACGAUCAUCGGAUUUCAACUGUGCCACCAGUUUCAAGAUGGAGAAGGAAAGUUGAUUCGCCUGCUGUUGAGGCUGCUUUUGAAAGUUUCAUUGAUAAUGUUCUCCGGGACUUUGUCAUGGACUUGUGGUAUUCUGAUAUUACUCCUGAUAGAGAGGCCCCAGAACUGAUACGUGGCUUAAUACUCCAUGCCCUUGGUGAAGUAUCAGGCAGGGCGAAGGAGAUGAACCUAGUUGACUUGCUAACAAGGGAUAUGUCUGAUUUGAUUGGAAAACAUGUGGAUAUGUUCCGAAAAAACCAAUCUGAAAUUGGUGUUGAUGUCAUGGGAACAUUGUCUUCCGAGGAAAGAGAUGAGCGACUGAAACAACACCUAAUAGUUUCACAGGAACUUCACCCUGCAUUGUUAUCUUCGGAGCACGAAUACAAGGUUCUUCAAGAGCUAGUUGGGGGCAUUAUGGCCCUAGUGCUGAGACCACAAGAUGCACAGAGUCCAUUGGUCCGCUGCUUCUCCAGGGAACUUCUGACUUGCUUAGUCUUGCAGCCAGUGAUGAACUUCGCAAGUCCUAUUUAUGUGAACGAGCUAAUUAUCUGCUUUCUAAACAACAAAGACACAAACAUUGGAGGCAGCGUAAACAAGACUAGUACUGUAGUCGCAGUAACAAAUGAUCAUUCAUCUUAUAAAGGAGGUUCGCAGGGUCGUCAAAUGGAAUCACAAAAGUUGUCUGCAGAAUCAAGUGGCUCAGUACUAGCAAGUAGCUCCGGGAUGACUUCCGUUGAGGGUGAUAAGUCAAAAGUGUUAGUGGAUGACCAUGGGAAGACCGUCCAGCCUCGUCAGGCAGAUUGGGCACUGGUAUUAGAUGCAGCUACUAAAAGGCGGUCUCAGGUUCUUGCUCCGGAGAAUCUUGAGAACAUGUGGGCUAUUGGGAGAAACUACCAAAAGAAUAUGGUGAAAGUGGAACGUCCAUCAAAAGGAAAAGGUGCAGGAGGGGUAGAUAGCGUUCGAAAUGCGGUAGUGGCCGGAAAAGAGUUAUCCCCUAACUUCAACGAGAGAGUUACAUCGGUUGAUGACAAAUACAUGGUUAAUUUGAUGCAAGGUUCAAAUAGGAAUGCUCAGUCCACUUUUGUUACAGGCAGUCACCCACUUGUUUCGCAAAAUACAGAUGAAGUAAAGUCAGAGCACCCUGAAGCUGUCAAGAACACAAAAGCUCAGCUAAAGCGGUCUAAUAGUAGUCCUGAUAUGGAGAAAAGACAUUUGGCCAAAAGUAAUCAAACCGCGCUAUCCAGUGAAAGCUUAAAUGCAAGGACCAUUCGAGAGGACAAAGGUUCUGUUCCUUCCUCACAUGGUGAGGUACUAAUGUAUGCUCCAAAGAUAAGGUGUCGGGUAGUGGGUGCAUAUUUCGAGAAACUUGGUUCAAAAUCUUUUGCAGUUUAUUCUAUUGCUGUGACUGGUGCAGAUAACAAGGCCUGGUUUGUGAAAAGAAGAUACCGGAAUUUUGAGCGUCUUCAUAGACAACUGAAGGAAAUACCAAAUUACUCACUGCACUUGCCUCCAAAGAGUUUCCUUUCGUCUAGUAUUGAUGAUUACCUUGUGCACCAACGAUGCAUUCUACUGGACAGAUAUCUUCAAGAUCUCUUGUCGAUCGCUAAUAUUGCAGAGCAGCAUGAAGUUUGGGAUUUUCUUAGUGAGUCCUCAAAGAAUUACUCAGCUGGAAAGUCCACCUCUGUUAUCAAAACCUUGGCUGUUAACGUUGAUGAUGCCAUGGAUGACAUCGUUCGACAUGUUAAAGGAGUUUCAGAUGGUCUAAAACGCGCAGUCGGCACAUCGUCCCCUAGCGCACCGUAUUCACACUUGACAGAUAAUAGGAUGUCUCUAUCUUGGAACCAGGAAGAGACAGAUAAUCAGAAUCUGCAGAAUAGAAAUUUAGGAAGUUCACAUAGUCUCUCUGAUGGUGAUAGUAACUGUGAAGAUCGCCCCUCAUCUGUAAAUAGUGCAUGCCACUCGGACAAUGAAUUGAGCAAUGGAGGGUUCAUUUCAAGUGAUAUUAAGCACAAUGAAGCAACUGGUUGUGAUGUACAAGUAAACCAACAAAUAGAAAAACCUGCAAGGGCAAAUUCGGAUUCUACAAACAUGUCAUCUGUAAAACCAUUUGAGGAUCCAUCAGGAAUUCCUCCCGAGUGGGUGCCAACAAAUGUCAGUGUGCCUCUAUUGAAUCUUGUAGACAAAGUGUUCCAACUAAAGCGACGGGGUUGGAUAAGAAAACAAGUUUUCUGGAUAUCAAAACAAAUCUUGCAGUUAGUCAUGGAAGAUGCGAUUGAUGAUUGGAUUUUAAGACAGAUCAAUUGGCUCCGACGAGAUGAGGUCAUUAUACAAGGAAUCCGUUGGAUUCAAGAUACCCUCUGGCCUAAUGGUGUGUUCUUCACCAAGUUGGAUGGAUAUCAAGGAAAUGCAGGUAGCAGUCAAUUUGACAAGCACCCAUCGGGGAGUGCCGAUGAGACUAUUGGCAACAGAAAGAGCAACGCGAGCUCUUUUGAGCUUCAACUGGAGGCAUCUAGAAAUGCCAGUGAAGUUAAGAAACUUCUUUUAGGUGGGACUCCAUCUACAUUAGUCAGCAUAAUUGGGUACAAGCAGUACCAGCGCAGUGCAAGGGACAUCUACUACUUCCUGCAGUCCACCGUGUGCGUGAAGCAGCUCACUUACGCGAUGAUAGAACAGGUGCUUGUAACACUUUUCCCUGAGCUUCAUAAGCUCAUAGAAGGCAUCCAUGAGAAGGGUCGCAAGGAACAAGCCUCGUUCAUUUACCAACUUUGA